Molecule: ribosomal RNA, 465 nt
Filed under: Vreelandella stevensii
Lineage: Bacteria; Pseudomonadati; Pseudomonadota; Gammaproteobacteria; Oceanospirillales; Halomonadaceae
Description: partial 16S ribosomal RNA
Rfam family: Bacterial small subunit ribosomal RNA
Source: RNAcentral
CCUACGGGCGGCAGCAGUGGGGAAUAUUGGACAAUGGGCGAAAGCCUGAUCCAGCCAUGCCGCGUGUGUGAAGAAGGCCUUCGGGUUGUAAAGCACUUUCAGUGGGGAAGAAAGCCUUGGGGCUAAUACCCUCGAGGAAGGACAUCACCCACAGAAGAAGCACCGGCUAACUCCGUGCCAGCAGCCGCGGUAAUACGGAGGGUGCGAGCGUUAAUCGGAAUUACUGGGCGUAAAGCGCGCGUAGGCGGUCUGAUAAGCCGGUUGUGAAAGCCCCGGGCUCAACCUGGGAACGGCAUCCGGAACUGUCAGGCUAGAGUGCAGGAGAGGAAGGUAGAAUUCCAGGUGUAGCGGUGAAAUGCGUAGAGAUCGGGAGGAAUACCAGUGGCGAAGGCGGCCCUCUGGACUGACACUGACGCUGAGGUGCGAAAGCGUGGGUAGCAAACAGGAUUAGAUACCCGGGUAGUC